GCUGGAGGGGGAGGAUCCGCCAUGGCGGGGGUGGCCGGGCCGGGGGUCGAGCUGGGCUGCGUCUUGGUGCAGGUUCAAGAAGAUCUUCAACAGUUGAAGGAACAACUGCGAGGUUUCAGCCAUGACUGGGAAACAGCAGAUACUGACGUUCUAGAAUCAGUUGUUGAAAAGGCAGAGAACAGACUGAGGAAACAUGCAGAAAACUAUUUAAAUGCAGUGAACAGAUCAGUGCUAACUAUUUUCCCAGCGGACGAUGCAAAACCAUCUUCAAGACAAAUUUCCAAAUGGGGAAUCCCCUUGGAGCCUCCUCAGAAAGAAAUCUCGUUCCCCAAGAUGCCGGUGAUGGCCCCUCCUGGCAGUGCAGCCCUGCCUCCAGCCUCCUCCUUGGGCUCAAAGCACAAGCUUUCCAUGAUGAUGAAGAUUCUGUGUGACCCAAAACACAUAUACCACCGAAGCAUUGUAAAUCAGAACUAUGGGGUCAGUUUGCCAUUGGUUAAUCGGAGGAAAACAGCAUGUGCACCGACGCAGAAGAUUGCAAAAGGUGUGACAGUCAGCAACCUUUCCAUAGCUCCACCAGCCUCCUAUUUCAGCAACAUUCGCUCUGCCGUGCCUAUUUCUGAGAAGGAUGCAGGGAAAGGCAUCCUAAAUCUAAUCGAAAGAGGACUCAUUCCACGUGCUGCUAGGAUUACUUUAGAGAAGCCACCCAUUCUGCCAAAACCUGUUCCUCUCCAUGAAUUUCAGACAAAGUACAAGAAGGUUGACGCAGGUUUUCAAAGCCGCUUUAUCUGUGCCAUAGAGGGGGCUCGGCAGAGCGAGAAGGUAGAAGCGGCUCCCCUCCCCUCUCAGAAGCCCACCCAGGUCUCCGAGCACCCAGCAGAAGGUGGAAAGGAGAAGAAAGGAACCAAGGGGAGCAUCGCACCCCCACCAUCCUGCAUCUCCGUCAUUUCCUCCAAGAAACUCAAACAGCAGCAGCUACUUCAGGCCAUGAGACUAAGGGAGUCAGCCGCCUCUUCGGUUUGCUUGGCAAAGACGCCAGAAGCGAUCCCGCCGGAGACCUUCAAGAAGGUGGCUUUUGAGUUUGAAAUCCCCGUCUGCAAAGGCGUCCUUGACUACGCGGCCUCCGACCUGGUUCAGUUCAAGCAGUACUGCUGCCUCCUCUGGGGAAGCGUCUUCUCCUUCCUGCAGCAAGUGGAGGUUCUGAUGAAGGAGUACGCCAUUCCUCUGGCCAUCGUCAUGGGGAAGAAAGUGAUGGACCUGGUCCCGGAUUUUGAGCUAAACCAGAGAGCCACCCGGGAGGAAAUCCUCUCGGUCUUAAAGAACGUCUCCACCGUUCAGAAAUUUUUAAAGCAGCCUGGCCGGAGAUACAAAGGCCAAAACGGGACCGAAAAAGCCGCCAUCAAGAUCCAGGCAACAUGGAAGUGCUACAAAUUGAGAAAAUCCUACAUUGGAUUCAGGCAUCGGCAGUGGGCCUCGGGCAUCAUUGCCAUUUCUUGGUUGAUCCACGUUCACUUGCAGCGUGUCCGAAAGACCCUGAAGGAGUCUCGGCAGAAACACCUGGAGAACUUCCACCUCAGGACCAAGCAUCUGGCCGCCAACUGGAAUCGCAUCAGGAGCUCUAGGAGGACGAUUAUCCAUAUCCCAUCGUUAGGGUACAAGCAGUCCCUUCGAGAGGCCGACCCAGAUUUCGCUGUUCAUCAGGGAUCGCAGUUCGGAAGGCUGUGCGAGAUUAAAGAUCCAAAUGUGGACGUCAUCUAUAUUUGCCCCUUAGAAUUAAGUGAAGAAUUGCUGCGCUACUACAAUAAACUCCUGGGUCUGCAGCCAGCCGUUCGGUCUGGGAACCCCGAGGACAUUGGUGACCUACAGGACAGGUUCAAAAUCCUCACCCCUGAAGCCAUCAACAGUUUUCCUAACCGCCCCAUGUCCCUGGCCUCCUUCUUGAAAUACAGCCCUAAGAUCCUUAAAAGGGUCAGAAACCUGGUCCAAGGCAAGGAAGCCUAUAUCGUGGGAGGCCUUCUGAACCAAGAUGACCUGGAAGUGGCCGAUGUGCUAGACUUGCCCAUUCUCGGUUCUGAUCCAGAAGUGGCUCAUCUUUACAGCACCAAGUCCGGAAACAAAAGAGUCUUUGAUGCUGCAGGUGUUCCGGUGCCUCCCGGGCAAUAUGACAUCUAUAGCAGGCAUCAGAUGAUCGAGGCCCUCAGUCAGCUGAUUAUAGACAACCCAGAAGUGCAACGUUGGGUGUUCAAGAUGGAUAAUGAAUUUGGGGGAAAUGGGACUGCCUUUUGUGACAUCGCUAAGCAUCUCAAGUGCUACGCUUGGAUUCUGAAGGAGCAUCAUCGAUACGGACCAGAGAUGUGGAAUAAAAGAUGGGCUCAUGAACCAGCUUUGGUGAAGCUCUCUCAGGAGCUGCCGGGCCUUUUAGCACAGCACGCUCAGGCUGUCAAUGAGAAACGAUUUCCUACAUGGGGGAAAUUCCUCCAAACGUUUGUGAGUCAAGGUGGAGUCGUAGAAGCCUUCCCACCUUCCGACAGCAUCACCAGCCUCACCGUGGACAUGCUGAUUGAACCCACCGGGGAGGUCACGAUGGUUUCCUGCGGGGACCAGUUUCACGCCGAAGGUCCCUUGCGGUCUUCGGGUACGACCCUCCCUCAGGCGUCCGUUGAACCCAAGCGCCUUCAUCUGCUGUGUUCUAAAAUUGGGGAGGCCUGCAAAUCCAGAGGAGUGGUUGGAUACUUUUCUAUCGACUUUGUGACUUUCAUCCACCCGCAGUCCUUGAGGCAGCAGGUUUGGGCCACGGACUUAGAUCUGCGCUACAGCGAUCAUUUGGCCAUGACUCGGGUCGCGCUCUACGUGACAGAGGGGACCUUCGACUGCGCGUCAAGUCGCUUCCAGGUACAUCUCCCUUCAAAGAAGCCACCUGUGCAGAAGGAACAGACCCGAUCUACUUCCCUGGUCAGCCGCUACGUUCUCAUGAGCAGUUCGAUUAAGAACGACAACCUUUCCUUAAUUUACUAUAAUGUCUUCCUCCAGAUGUGCAAGGCUCACGGGAUCGGCUACGAUGUGCGGCUAAAAGAAGGAACUGUUUUUAUCUUGUUUGAAGAUAAGAAACGAAACACAUUUGGGAUGAUAACAAUUGGAGAACAUCUCCAGGGGGUCCUCAUGACCUUUGCUCAGCAUCUCUUCAUCAUCUAUCAAGAAUUAUCAGCACCUAAUAUGCAUGCCGAGACCAAUUUUAAGGGAGCCAUUCAAGACAUUGAGAGGAUCUUGGGGGUUACGGAGCAGAACAAGUUAAAAUUUGAAGAGAAAAAGGAGGCCUCAAAAGCAAAAACAUCCAAAAAAUAAUUAAAAUACACUCUUCACACCUUGAGAUUCUUGCCAGGCAUCUUCAAACUCUUCGUCUUUUGAAGCCUUCCCCUUUUACAGUUGUAAAUCUGAAACUGUUUUUUGGAUUUCUGAAAACCACAUUUAGGGAAGCUAAGAAUGUGCCUAAAAUGCAACUGUUGCAUGGAAAAGAAGGAGGCAUUUUCGUGUGUUUUAUUGGAUGAUCUACUCAGAAGAUCCAUUGGGUUCAAGGAGUCAUAUCCCAGUCCAUUUUCAGUGCCAAUAAUCCGUAAGAACUGAAGGGAAUUAUAGGAACAGUCACGAGUGGACUUUAUAUUCGAUACCAGAUUACAUUACGAAUAGUUUCACACUUCACAAAUUUCUGAGAGUUGUUCUGUUACUCAAAAAAAAAUGUAAGCACAUUUGCUUGGAAGUAAUUAUGCUGAACAAGAUUUAAAACCCAUUAUUGAAAUUUGAAGAAACCUGUUCCUCACAGUGACUGAGUUCAGACAACAUGCUUAACUAAAUUAAUUAAAUUAGUGCCUGCACAA
Molecule: non-coding RNA, 3869 nt
Organism: Pantherophis guttatus
Lineage: Eukaryota; Metazoa; Chordata; Lepidosauria; Squamata; Colubridae
Source: RefSeq, a predicted model, not a curated record